AUAAGAGGUCCCGCCUGCCCUGUGACUUAAGGUUUAACGGCCGCGGUAUUUUGACCGUGCGAAGGUAGCGCAAUCACUUGUCCUUUAAAUGAGGACCUGUAUGAAUGGCACAACGAGGGCUAAACUGUCUCCCCCCUCUAGUCAAUGAAAUUGAUCUCCUCGUGCAGAAGCGAGGAUACCCCUAUAAGACGAGAAGACCCUAUGGAGCUUUAGACAUUAAACAGCCCAUUUAAGAAAAUCAGCAUAAAGAAAAUUAACACAAUGAAAUCCCUGUUGGAAUGUCUUUGGUUGGGGCGACCGUGGAAAAAACAAAACACCCAUGAGGAUUGGGGAUACCCCCUAACACUAAGAGCCACAGCUCUAAGUAACAGAACUUCUGACCUAAAUGAUCCGGCUCCCUGCCGAUCAACGAACCGAGUUACCCUAGGGAUAACAGCGCAAUCCCCUCCCAGAGCCCCUAUCGACGAGAGGGUUUACGACCUCGAUGUUGGAUCAGGACAUCCUAAUGGUGCAGCCGCUAUUAAGGGUUCGUUUGUUCAACGAUUAAUC
RNAcentral lists this ribosomal RNA (549 nucleotides) under Latropiscis purpurissatus. RNAcentral describes it as "partial 16S ribosomal RNA". It matches the Rfam family "Bacterial large subunit ribosomal RNA", at positions 1845 to 2593 of the family's 2925-position model. The record is from RNAcentral. Lineage: Eukaryota; Metazoa; Chordata; Actinopteri; Aulopiformes; Aulopidae.